CUGGUGUACCUGUAGGUUCGGGGGGACUCCAGUUUGAAGACCCAGCUAUGAACAUCCUAUUACACUGAUCCAGCACUCCGCUCCUCUCCUCUCCCUUUGCCCACUUCUCUCUCAGUUUUGGUUUUACUGAACUAGUGGUUCCCUUCUCAGCUGCAGUGUGUGGAGCUACAUCAUGGACUUUCUGCCUGACUUUGCUGGCCUUGUACAGACUCUUCAGUCACCUCCUGCCCUGAGGUAGGGAGAGCGGAGCCAGGUUCUUGUGAAUGAAAAGGAAGGAGUCAUCACAGGGCACACACCUCACUGCACCUCUUCUCGACCAGCUUCCCAGUGAAAGCAUUGACAACUAUGAAUUGACCUCUGAGUAUUUCUGUGACUCCAUCCCCAAGACUUUCUGUAUUACGAAGAUUUCUAAUUUUUGUUAUUUACUCCAAGGUCUGUUAUUAAGUAAUUGGCUUAUGUCUUAUUUUAGUGGUUAUAUUGGAGAUUUUUAAACAUUUUCCAUAUGGUAUUCCUGUUAUUCAUUUGAAUUCUUACAUCAAUAAAAGUAAUAGCAAUAAAGUAUUACUAAUAACUAUUUCUCACCUUAUUAUACUGUGACCAGAGAAUAUAACCUGGAGAAUUUCUUCUAUUGUUAAUUUAUUCAGAUCCAAGGAAACUACUUCUACUCAUUAAGAAAUUCCUUGUGCUUGUUUUCUAUUUUCCCUGUGAGAAUUUUAGAGAAGCAAAAGUCUUGUUUGUAUUUUCUGAUGUUCUCAGUAUAUGUUCUCAAACUUAUGUAGACACCUAAAGGUGAACAAAGUAUGCAGAUAUCUGAAGCCAUGAGCCUCCUAGAUGUCACUCGAAGUGUAAAAUCUAAAACUUCUCUGUAGCAAAUGAAAGGGAAACUCUCCCUUCAAUGAGCCGGAUUCCUAGCAUAAUCUUCUCUCUCAAUUUCAAAGUUUCCCAUGUCACUCAUACAUCCAGACAUUUCCCAUUGAGUUUGUGUGGUAUACUCUCUCUUUAUGUCAUUACUCAUUCCUUAAGUAUCUACUCCGCUGACCAAAUCAUUCCAGCAGAGUGAUUUAUACCACCAUUUCUCCCUGGCACAUGCCAUUUUGCAAUUUCUUGUUUGCAAUUAUAAAUCUUCUACAUGGGGAGGAAGUAGUAUAUUUUAUUUAUUUUGGCAUCCCCAGGGCCUAACUCGCUACUCACUGCACAUAUGUUUGCUGAAUUUAGUUUGAUGUUGAAAGAAUUUUAUCUUUAACAAAACAUUUACCUGUCCUUUAUUUCUAUAACAAGAUGUUAGAAAGAGAUACAUGCCCCUUCAUCUCCCUCAUAAGAGGGGUGUGGGCUUCCACGGGGCCACUGAAAGAGCUUAACAUGUGACCUCUAUAGGUCAUAAGGGUGUGCAGUCUAAUGUCCACCCAGAG
Molecule: long non-coding RNA, 1409 nt
Filed under: Delphinapterus leucas (beluga whale)
Lineage: Eukaryota; Metazoa; Chordata; Mammalia; Artiodactyla; Monodontidae
Description: lncRNA (ENSDLEG00000015784.1)
Source: RNAcentral